UUCCUCGUGGCCCAAUGGUCACGGCGUCUGGCUACGAACCAGAAGAUUCCAGGUUCAAAUCCUGGCGGGGAAG
RNAcentral lists this transfer RNA (73 nucleotides) under Saccharomyces cerevisiae (brewer's yeast). It matches the Rfam family "tRNA". From Rfam's summary of the family: Transfer RNA (tRNA) molecules are approximately 80 nucleotides in length. Their secondary structure includes four short double-helical elements and three loops (D, anti-codon, and T loops). The record is from RNAcentral. Lineage: Eukaryota; Fungi; Ascomycota; Saccharomycetes; Saccharomycetales; Saccharomycetaceae.